This 85-nucleotide transfer RNA is filed under the name Waddliaceae bacterium. RNAcentral describes it as "tRNA-Ser". It matches the Rfam family "tRNA". Rfam says of the family: Transfer RNA (tRNA) molecules are approximately 80 nucleotides in length. Their secondary structure includes four short double-helical elements and three loops (D, anti-codon, and T loops). RNAcentral also lists the same sequence under 2 other names. The record is from RNAcentral. Lineage: Bacteria; Pseudomonadati; Chlamydiota; Chlamydiia; Parachlamydiales; Waddliaceae.
GGAAGAGUGGCAGAGUGGCCGAAUGCGUCUGUCUUGAAAACAGAAGACCCGCAAGGGUCCGGGGGUUCGAAUCCCUCCUCUUCCG